Molecule: ribosomal RNA, 451 nt
Filed under: uncultured Fibrobacter sp.
Lineage: Bacteria; Pseudomonadati; Fibrobacterota; Fibrobacteria; Fibrobacterales; Fibrobacteraceae
Description: partial 16S ribosomal RNA
Rfam family: Bacterial small subunit ribosomal RNA
Source: RNAcentral
ACGGAAGGCAGCAGUGGGGAAUAUUGCACAAUGGGGGAAACCCUGAUACAGCAACGCCACGUGUGGGAAGAAGCAUUUCGGUGUGUAAACCACUGUCGUGAAGGAAUAAGGCUUAUUUUCGGAUAAGUUGAAUGUACUUUGAAAGGAAGCACCGGCAAACUUCGUGCCAGCAGCCGCGGUAAUACGAGGGGUGCACGCGUUGUUCGGAAUCACUGGGCGUAAAGGGAGCGCAGGCGGAGAUGCAAGCAGUCUGUACAAUACCGGGGCCCAACCCCGGACCUGCAGACUGGACUGUUUCUCUUGGAUAGCUCAGGGGCUGGCGGAAUUCCUGGUGUAGCGGUGGAAUGCGUAGAGAUCAGGAAGAACACCGAUGGCGAAGGCAGCCAGCUGGGGGCUUAUCGACGCUCAUGCUCGAAAGUGCGGGUAGCAAACAGGAUUGGAUACCCUGGUA